UAAUAAGUUUAAAUAGUAGAUCAGUAAGUUGGCUUUCUCAAGCCAACUUAAUAAUAAUAAGAUUAGAUAGUAGAUCAGUAAGUUGGCUUUUUCAAGCCAACUUAAUAAAGUCAAAUAAUAUAAAUGUGAUUUUUUAUUUACUGAUAUCUGAACCAACUUGUAAAUUCCAUGAAAAUUCAGUCAGAAUAAACUCAAUUGAGUAAUACAGUUGUGAAUUUGUCUGUAUAAAAUACAAUCUGAGCACAUAUCUGCAUUCUUACAAAACAUUAAAAGAUGGAAAUAUCAGUGGAGACUUGUGUAUUGUGGAAGAAUAACUUUUUAUUAAAAAAUAUAUUUACAUUGUUUAUUUUCAAUGGUUUGUUUUAUUGCUAUAAUAUGAUCAUGGAUACGGCAAUGCGGUGGACCAGGACAUGGUUGUAGAGCGGAGCUGGACCUGUACUGUGACCAUGAGGCUCUCAGGCUGUGGCUCUGACAUUGCUGCUCAAUGUGGUCAUUAAAAUAACCAGAUCAUUAGAGCCAUUUGCUCGUGAAUCGGACACUGCUCAUGCUCUAUAUGUUAUUACAUUAUAGCCAGUUUAAGUUAUUGUGAUUAACUAACUUCAUUAAGUGAAGGAUUCAUCAGACUGUUUUACACUGGUAACUCUGAUUGUGUGUGUGUGUGUGUGUGUGUGUUUACUGAUUAAUUGAAAUAGUCAAAUCAUAAGAGUCAUUUGCAUGUGAUUCGAGCUACACUGAUCUGUAUGUUUUUGAAGUAGUUGAUUGCUUUUGAAUCGGACAUAGGUCGCACUGUGUAUGUUAUUUUGUUAUACUAAGGUUAAGUAAUUGUGAUUAACUAGUUGAUUAAAGAUUCAUCAGACUGUUCUAAACUACUAAAUCCUAAGUUUUUUUUUGUUUUGUUUUUUUGAAUGAUUUAAUAACCUGACCUACUUAUUUGCUAGAGAAGGAAACUACUGACUACUGCAAGACAAUAUAUUUUUUUUUUUUUUUUUUUGCCAUUACUUCAUAAUACAUUCAAACUAGAGUUACAUUCUACAAAGUUACAUUCAAAUUAGACUGCAUUCACAACACAUUAAAUAUGACUGUAGAUAAUAAUAUUAUAGGCAAUAAUAUUACUGGUUAUGAAUGGGACCUCAAGAGGGCGUUGGACUUAACAGAGGCUCCUCAAAGACGCCCAUAUUACAGGAACCUCAAGGCAGUAUUACAGCGCCUUAAACCCCCAGUGAGCAAGCCAACGGCAACAGUGACAAGGAAAAACUCCCUACAGAAUUAAAUGUAGGCAGAAACCUUGGGAGGAACCAAGACUCAUCAGGGGGGACCCAUCCUCCUCUGGUCGGCAAAUAUAAAAAUACUGCCUAAUUGAUUUAUAAUAUUUAUGGUUAGAUGAUAAUUAACAAAAUAACCGCCCAAUUCUAAAAUGGCUAUUGAGAACAACUCUUACCUGUAUUUUACAGGACUUACCUGUUUUCAACAACUCUUACCUGUACUUUACAAAUCUUACCUGUAUUCAACAACCCUUACCUUUAGUCUACAAAUCUUACCUUAAGUCUAUAAGUCUUAACUUUUUUCUAUAACUCUUACCUAUAUUCGACAGGACUAAGCUGUACUCUUCCCUUUAUUGUACAGCUCUUACCGUUAGCUUUAGUCUACAACUCUUAACUUCAGUCUACAGCUCUUAAAUUUAGUAUACAACUCUUAAAUGUAUUUCACAAGACCUACUGUACCUAAACUCUUACCUUUAGUCUACACCUGUUAACUUGAGUCUACAACACUUACCUUUAGUCAGCAUCUGUUAAGUUUAGUCUACAUUAAGUCUCCUUACCUUUAGUGUACAACUCUUACCUUUAGUCUACAACUCUUACCUGUACUCUAGAACUUGUACCUUUAGUCUACAACUCUUACCUUUUGUCUAAAACUUUUACCUGUACUUUACAACUCUUAAAUAUAUUUCACAGGACCUACUGUACCUGAACUCUUACCUUUAGUCUACACCUGUUAACUUUAGUCUACAACACUUACCUUUAGUCUACACCUGUUAACUUAAGUCUACAACUCUUACCUUUAGUCGCCAUCUGUUAACUUUAGUCUACAACUCUUACCUUUAGUCGACAUCUGUUAACUUUAGUCUACAACUCUUACCUGUACUUUACAACUCUUAACUUUAGUAUAUAACUCUUGCCUGUAUUCUACAGGACUUACCUGUAUUCUACAACUCUUACCUAUAUUCGACAGGACUUACCUGUAUUCUACAACUCUUAACUUUAGUCUUCAACUCUUACCUGUAUUUCACAGGACCUACCUGAACUCUUACCUUUAGUCUGCACCUGUUAACUUUAGUCUAAAACUCUUACCUUCAGUCUGCACCUGUUAACUUUAGUCUACAACUCUUACCUUUAGUCUACAACUCUUACCUGUACUUUACAACUCUUAAAUUUAGUAUACAACUCUUACCUGUAUUUCACAUGACCUACCUGAACUCUUACCUUUAGUCUUCACCUGCUAUAACUUUAGUCUACAACUCUUACCUGUACAUUACAUAUCUUAACUUUAGUCUAUAACUCUUACUUGUAUUCUACAGGACUUACCUGUACACUUACCUUUAUUCUACAGCUCUUACCUGUAUUUCACAGGACCUACCUGAACUCUUACCUUUAGUCUACAACUCUUACCUGUACUCUUGAACUCUUAAAAAAGUAGGGUGGCCAUAUGUGCCGUUUAUAUGGGACACGUCCUGGCCAGGAUUUUAAUAAUGCCUAAAACAUUCAAAGCAGUUUUACCAAUAACAUGCAGGUAUUGUACAUAAUCGACCAAUCAUAGGGCAGUGCGUGAGAAGAUGAGAUCUACAGGGAAUGAUCAAAGCAAUGCACAUAUGUGCACGUAUUUGUUCGUUCGUUUAACUUGAAGUGUGCCGAUCAAAAAAAGACACCAAAGUAGGUGCAAGAGCGAUUCAAAAGCAUAAGGAGCUGUCUACUCUGCUCUCUAUAGCUCUCAUGAAUGUCAUACAACAUUUGACCUGCAUAGUGCAAACAGCCAAAACCUGGAUAUUUUAGGCAAUAUUAAAAUCCUUGCUGGGACUUGUCCUUUAUGAACGGUGCAUAUGGCCACCCUAACCUUAAGUCUACAACUCUUACCUUUAGUCUACAACUUACCUGUACUCUAGAACUUGUACCUUUAGUCUAAAACGCUUACCUUUAGUCUACAACUCUUACCUGCACUCCAAAACCCGUACCUGUACUCUACAACCCCCCUUAGCAACUGGCCUGAAUAUGACACUGAGAUGGUCCCGUGGUCAUGCAUGGCACUGAAGGGGCCUGGGAUGUGCCAGCUGAACUUAGGGCUGCUUGGGCUUUACCUGUGCACUGAGGGGUACCUGUGGCCGCGGCGCUGAGGGGUGCCUGGACUGACGCAGCAGCGCUGACGGGUGCCUGUACUGCAGCCGCAGUACUGAGGGAUGUCUGGGCUGUGGCGCUGAGGAGGACCUGGGUUGUGGCUCUUGUACUAUGUUUUCUAGCAGAGGCUCAAGGACAGAUAACUGGACUCAGGAACACUUUGCCAGCACUAUAUUGUCAGCAGCCAAGUAAGUUGGCAUAUUUGGAUGGCGGUAAUGAAAGGGACCUUAGGCGCUCAGCCUGUGACAGGGACCUCAGGAAGCUGUGGUCAUGACAGGGGAGACCUCAAGCGGCAUUGGCCAUCACAGGGACCUUAGGGAGUGUUGGCUAAGACAGGGACCUCAGGGAGGCAAUGGCCUUGACAUGGACCUCAGCGAGCAUAGGCUGUUACAGGGACUCCUGGAAGUGACAGCCACCACAGGUAUCUCAGAAGCCAUGGCCAAGUCUGGUACCUCAGGGCCGAACCUUAAGCCUCUUAUAUGACUAAUGGCCUUAUAUUGAGAAAGCUAUGGUUCAGUGCUCGCCAAAUUUGUCCUUUAGCUUGGUUUAGCUAAUUUAAAUGGCUAUUGAGGCCACCUGCCUGCACAACUACAUAUACUCUACAACAUGUGCCUAUACUAUACAACACUUACAUAUACUAUACAACACUAACCUGUACUAUAUUACUCUUAUACUCUACAUCUCUUACCUGUACUACACAACACUUACCUUUACUAUACAACACUAACCUGUACUAUAUUACUCUUACAUAUAUUCUACAUCUCUUACCUGUACUACACAACACUUACCUUUACUAUACAACACUUACCUGUACUUUAUUACUCUUACAUAUACUCUGCAACUCUUACUUGUACUGCACAACACUUAGUUCUCUCAAAACUGAAAACCACUGCUGCAGUGAAAUACUGUACUUUUCCCCUACGACACUUAUCUGCUUUCCGAUGCAAGUAAUUGCUCAUCGUAAACCUUACCAGUGAUGUACGUGACUUUUCAGCAGCACAUCUCUGACUCUGCAGCAACAUUUCUGGAGGAUCC
Molecule: long non-coding RNA, 4421 nt
Organism: Cyprinus carpio carpio
Lineage: Eukaryota; Metazoa; Chordata; Actinopteri; Cypriniformes; Cyprinidae
Source: Ensembl